AAUGGCUGCAGUAAUUUGACUGUACAAAGGUAGCAUAAUCAUUAGUUUUUUAAUUAAAAGCUUGUAUGAAAGGUUGGACGAAAUAAAUUCUGUCUCUUUUUAAUAAAAUUAGAAUUUAAUUUUUAAGUUAAAAAGCUUAAAUAUUUAUAAAAGACGAGAAGACCCUAUAGAGUUUUAUAAUUUAAAUUUAUUAAUUAAUUUAGAUUUAUUAAUUUUAUUUUUUUUAAAUUAUUUUAUUGGGGUAAUAGAAAGAUUAAAAAAAUUCUUUUUUUAUAAAAAUCAUUAAUUUAUGAAAAUUUUAUGAUCCAUUAAAUUUUGAAUAUAAGAUUAAAUUACCUUAGGGAUAACAGCGUAAUUUUUUUUAAGAGUUCAUAUCGAUAAAAAAGUUUGCGACCUCGAUGUUGGAUUAAAGAUUAAUUUAGGUGUAGAAGUUUAAAUUUUUGGUCUGUUCGACCAUUGAAUCUUUACAUGAUCUGAGUUCAAACCGGUGUAAGCCAGGUUGGUUUCUAUCUUUAUUAAAAUUUUAUAUUUCAGUACGAAAGGACCAAUUAUAUUAUAUAUUUAUAUUUAAAUUAUUGAAUAU
Molecule: ribosomal RNA, 583 nt
Filed under: Trechus sp. 2 AF-2013
Lineage: Eukaryota; Metazoa; Arthropoda; Insecta; Coleoptera; Carabidae
Description: partial 16S ribosomal RNA
Rfam family: Bacterial large subunit ribosomal RNA (bases 343-501)
Source: RNAcentral